UACAGAGGUGGCAAGCGUUGUUCGGAAUUACUGGGCGUAAAGGGCGAGUAGGUGGCCAUCUACGUCAGACGUGAAAUCCCCCGGCUUAACCUGGGAACUGCGUCUGAUACUGGACGGCUUGAGUAUGGGAGAGGAACGUAGAAUUCCAGGUGUAGCGGUGAAAUGCGUAGAUAUCUGGAGGAAUACCGGUGGCGAAGGCGGCGUUCUGGACCAUUACUGUCACUGAAUCGCGAAAGCUAGGGGAGCAAACGGG
RNAcentral lists this ribosomal RNA (253 nucleotides) under uncultured bacterium. Its description in RNAcentral is "partial 16S ribosomal RNA". It matches the Rfam family "Bacterial small subunit ribosomal RNA", at positions 524 to 776 of the family's 1533-position model. The record is from RNAcentral.